RNAcentral lists this ribosomal RNA (486 nucleotides) under uncultured bacterium. RNAcentral describes it as "bacterial SSU rRNA". It matches the Rfam family "Bacterial small subunit ribosomal RNA", at positions 28 to 507 of the family's 1533-position model. The record is from RNAcentral.
GAUGAACGCUAGCUACAGGCUUAACACAUGCAAGUCGAGGGGCAGCACUAGGUAGCAAUACUGAGGUGGCGACCGGCGCACGGGUGCGUAACGCGUAUCCAACCUUCCCGAUACUCUUGGAUAGCCUUCCGAAAGGGAGAUUAAUACAAGAUGGUGUUUCACUUUCGCAUGUUAUUGAAACUAAAGAUUUAUCGGUAUCGGAUGGGGAUGCGUGACAUUAGAUAGUAGGCGGGGUAACGGCCCACCUAGUCUACGAUGUCUAGGGGUUCUGAGAGGAAGGUCCCCCACACUGGAACUGAGACACGGUCCAGACUCCUACGGGAGGCAGCAGUGAGGAAUAUUGGUCAAUGGUCGGAAGACUGAACCAGCCAAGUAGCGUGAAGGAUGAAGGUUCUAUGGAUUGUAAACUUCUUUUAUACGGGAAUAAAACCUCCCACGUGUGGGAGCUUGUAUGUACCGUAUGAAUAAGCAUCGGCUAACUCCGUG